AACGGCCGCGGUAUUCUGACCGUGCAAAGGUAGCAUAAUCAUUAGUCCCAUAAUAGGGGGCUGGAAUGAAGGGUUUGACGAAGUAUUAACUGUCUCAUAAUAAUAUUUAUUGAAUUUAACUUUUGAGUUAAAAGGCUCAACUUUUUUUGGUAGACGAGAAGACCCUAUAGAGCUUUAUAUAUAAAAACUUAUAAAUAUUUUUGUUAAAUUCUUAUUUUUAUUUUUUUGUUUAUUUUGUUGGGGUGACAAUAGAAUAUAUUUAACUUUUAUUAUUUAUUUUACAUUAAUUUAUGUAUCUAAGAUCCAUUUAUAGUGAUCAUUGGAUAAGUUACCUUAGGGAUAACAGCGUAAUCCUCUUUUUGAGUUCUUAUUUGCAAGGGGGCUUGCGACCUCGAUGUUGGAUUAAGAUAAUGAUUAGGUGCAGUAGCUUAAUUAAUAGGUCUGUUCGAC
RNAcentral lists this ribosomal RNA (450 nucleotides) under Sciotropis cyclanthorum. RNAcentral describes it as "partial 16S ribosomal RNA". It matches the Rfam family "Bacterial large subunit ribosomal RNA", at positions 1926 to 2585 of the family's 2925-position model. Lineage: Eukaryota; Metazoa; Arthropoda; Insecta; Odonata; Megapodagrionidae. The record is from RNAcentral.